GGUCCAAAAAGGCCGGAGAUGCUCAAAUCCUAUUUCAAGCCAAGGCUUCGAUUGACCAUUGUAAUGAAUGACAGCAGCCUUCUUCACAUUCUCAACAUUGGUAUUAUUCUGAUAGCCCAAGCCAAGCAUGUGCCACGACGGGUCAAUAGGAUGAACAUGACCUUUGAAUGCAAUCAAAGCAGGAGGGAGUGUUCCAAGUUUCCACAUUGUUAAGUUAGACUUCAGAUUCUCUUUAAGCCACGAAUGAUAACUAUCUCUUAUACUUGUCUUUCUCCAUGCACGCAAGUCAAAUAUAUUCAUCCCAUAAGCCCAUGCA
RNAcentral lists this unclassified non-coding RNA (316 nucleotides) under Hevea brasiliensis (rubber tree). Lineage: Eukaryota; Viridiplantae; Streptophyta; Magnoliopsida; Malpighiales; Euphorbiaceae. The record is from RNAcentral.